Molecule: ribosomal RNA, 492 nt
Filed under: uncultured bacterium
Lineage: Bacteria
Description: partial 16S ribosomal RNA
Rfam family: Bacterial small subunit ribosomal RNA
Source: RNAcentral
AGUGAACGCUGGCGGCAGGCCUAACACAUGCAAGUCGAACGGCAGCACAGUAAGAGCUUGCUCUUACGGGUGGCGAGUGGCGGACGGGUGAGGAAUACAUCGGAAUCUACUUUUUCGUGGGGGAUAACGUAGGGAGACUUACGCUAAUACCGCAUACGACCUACGGGUGAAAGCAGGGGAUCUUCGGACCUUGCGCGAUUGUAUGAGCCGAUGUCGGAUUAGCUAGUUGGCGGGGUAAAGGCCCACCAAGGCGACGAUCCGUAGCUGGUCUGAGAGGAUGAUCGGCCACACGGGAACUGGGACACGGUCCAGGCUCCUACGGGAGGGAGCAGUGGGGAAUGUUGGACAAUGGGCGCAAGCCUGAUCCAGCCAUACCGCGUGGGUGAAGAAGGCCUUCGGGUUGUAAAGCCCUUUUGUUGGGAAAGAAAAGCAGCAGGUUAAUACGCCGCUGUUCUGACGGUACCCAAAGAAUAAGCACCGGCUAACUUCGUG